AUCCCUUAGUAACGGCGAGUGAACAGGGAGAAGCCCAGCACCGAAGCCUGCGGUCGUUUGGCCGUCAGGCAAUGUGGUGUUCAGGUCAAUCCGCGGAGGCACUGCUCCACCCCAAGUCCAAUUCUGAGUACGGUUGUACGGACAUGGCCCAAGGAGGGUGAAAGGCCCGUGGGGGUGGAGCUCAGUUUGGCCAGUGUUUCUCUGGGAAGACCUUGGAGUCGGGGUGUUUGUGAAUGCA
RNAcentral lists this ribosomal RNA (238 nucleotides) under Paropecoelus sp. RAG1. RNAcentral describes it as "partial large subunit ribosomal RNA". It matches the Rfam family "Eukaryotic large subunit ribosomal RNA", at positions 73 to 284 of the family's 3401-position model. Lineage: Eukaryota; Metazoa; Platyhelminthes; Trematoda; Plagiorchiida; Opecoelidae. The record is from RNAcentral.